This 529-nucleotide ribosomal RNA is filed under the name Didymella sp. OUCMBI101099. RNAcentral's name for it is "eukaryotic LSU rRNA". The stretch from base 157 to 310 matches the Rfam family "5.8S ribosomal RNA". The record is from RNAcentral. Lineage: Eukaryota; Fungi; Ascomycota; Dothideomycetes; Pleosporales; Didymellaceae.
CCAAGGUCGUAGUCUUACUAGAGUUGUAGGCUUUGCCUGCUAUCUCUUACCCAUGUCUUUUGAGUACCUUACGUUUCCUCGGCGGGUCCGCCCGCCGAUUGGACAAUUUAAACCAUUUGCAGUUGCAAUCAGCGUCUGAAAAAACUUAAUAGUUACAACUUUCAACAACGGAUCUCUUGGUUCUGGCAUCGAUGAAGAACGCAGCGAAAUGCGAUAAGUAGUGUGAAUUGCAGAAUUCAGUGAAUCAUCGAAUCUUUGAACGCACAUUGCGCCCCUUGGUAUUCCAUGGGGCAUGCCUGUUCGAGCGUCAUUUGUACCUUCAAGCUCUGCUUGGUGUUGGGUGUUUGUCUCGCCUCUGCGUGUAGACUCGCCUCAAAACAAUUGGCAGCCGGCGUAUUGAUUUCGGAGCGCAGUACAUCUCGCGCUUUGCACUCAUAACGACGACGUCCAAAAGUACAUUUUUACACUCUUGACCUCGGAUCAGGUAGGGAUACCCGCUGAACUUAAGCAUAUCAAUAAGCGGAGGAAA